UACGGGGGGGGCAAGCGUUGUUCGGAAUUACUGGGCGUAAAGGGCUCGUAGGUGGCCAACUAAGUCAUACGUGAAAUCCCUCAGCUUAACUGGGGAACUGCGUCUGAUACUGGAUGGCUUGAGUUUGGGAGAGGGAUGCGGAAUUCCAGGUGUAGCGGUGAAAUGCGUAGAUAUCUGGAGGAACACCUGCGGUGUAGACGGCUUACUGGACCGCCACUGACGCUGAGGCACGAAAGCGUGGGUAGCAAACAGG
This 253-nucleotide ribosomal RNA is filed under the name uncultured bacterium. Its description in RNAcentral is "partial 16S ribosomal RNA". It matches the Rfam family "Bacterial small subunit ribosomal RNA", at positions 524 to 776 of the family's 1533-position model. The record is from RNAcentral.